RNAcentral lists this ribosomal RNA (460 nucleotides) under uncultured bacterium. RNAcentral describes it as "partial 16S ribosomal RNA". It matches the Rfam family "Bacterial small subunit ribosomal RNA", at positions 338 to 795 of the family's 1533-position model. The record is from RNAcentral.
CCUACGGGAGGCAGCAGUGAGGAAUAUUGGUCAAUGGCCGGAAGGCUGAACCAGCCAUGCCGCGUGAAGGUCAGUGCCCUAUGGGCGUUAAACUUCUUUUGUGCGGGAGCAAUAAUGGUCACGUGUGGCCAGACGAGAGUACCGUACGAAUAAGCAUCGGCUAACUCCGUGCCAGCAGCCGCGGUAAUACGGGGGAUGCAAGCGUUAUCCGGAUUUAUUGGGUUUAAAGGGUGCGUAGGCUGUGAGGUAAGUCAGCGGGGAAAUGCCCCCGCUCAACGGGGUCAAGUGCCAUUGAUACUGCCUUGCUGGAAUGCGGAUGCCGUGGGAGGAAUGUGUGGUGUAGCGGUGAAAUGCAUAGAUAUCACACAGAACACCGAUUGCGAAGGCAUCUCACGAAUCCGCGAUUGACGCUGAUGCACGAAAGCGUGGGUAUCAAACAGGAUUAGAUACCCCGGUAGUC